RNAcentral lists this long non-coding RNA (286 nucleotides) under Medicago truncatula (barrel medic). RNAcentral's name for it is "long non-coding RNA (MTRU_LNC008506)". Lineage: Eukaryota; Viridiplantae; Streptophyta; Magnoliopsida; Fabales; Fabaceae. The record is from RNAcentral.
UCAUUAUAUAUUGAACAGAAGCAAAAGCCUCCGUAACGGUCGGACGAUAAUAAAAAGUCAUAGCAAAACCCGUCGCUACUUGGACUAAAAAACAAGUAAGUGUAAUUCCUCCUAAACAAUAAAAUAUAUUGACAUGAGGAGGAACUUGUUUACUAGUUAUAUCAUCGGCAAUCGCUUGAAUCUCAAGACGUUCUUCGAACCAAUCAUAGACUUUAUUGAGAUAGGUAAACCAAAGGACCCCCCUAAGAACCGUAUAUGAGAAUUUCAUCUCGUACGGCUCAAACAA